UAAGAUUAAGAAUGAAAUUAUUCGAGAGAAGGUGGGGUGGCCCCGGUGGAUGAGAAGAUGCGUGAAGCGCGACUGAGGUGGUUCGGGCAUGUGCGGAGGAGAAGUCCCGAUGCUCCGGUGAGGAGCUGCGAGCGGCUGGAGAUCGUUGCCCCGGUGGAUGAGAAGAUGCGAGAAGCGAGGCUCAGGUGGUUCGGGCAUGUGCGUAGGAGAAGUCCUGAUGCCCCGG
Molecule: long non-coding RNA, 226 nt
Filed under: Nicotiana benthamiana
Lineage: Eukaryota; Viridiplantae; Streptophyta; Magnoliopsida; Solanales; Solanaceae
Description: long non-coding RNA (NBEN_LNC035473)
Source: RNAcentral